This 465-nucleotide ribosomal RNA is filed under the name uncultured Klebsiella sp. RNAcentral describes it as "bacterial SSU rRNA". It matches the Rfam family "Bacterial small subunit ribosomal RNA", at positions 338 to 795 of the family's 1533-position model. Lineage: Bacteria; Pseudomonadati; Pseudomonadota; Gammaproteobacteria; Enterobacterales; Enterobacteriaceae. The record is from RNAcentral.
CCUACGGGCGGCAGCAGUGGGGAAUAUUGCACAAUGGGCGCAAGCCUGAUGCAGCCAUGCCGCGUGUGUGAAGAAGGCCUUCGGGUUGUAAAGCACUUUCAGCGGGGAGGAAGGCGGUGAGGUUAAUAACCUCAUCGAUUGACGUUACCCGCAGAAGAAGCACCGGCUAACUCCGUGCCAGCAGCCGCGGUAAUACGGAGGGUGCAAGCGUUAAUCGGAAUUACUGGGCGUAAAGCGCACGCAGGCGGUCUGUCAAGUCGGAUGUGAAAUCCCCGGGCUCAACCUGGGAACUGCAUUCGAAACUGGCAGGCUAGAGUCUUGUAGAGGGGGGUAGAAUUCCAGGUGUAGCGGUGAAAUGCGUAGAGAUCUGGAGGAAUACCAGUGGCGAAGGCGGCCCCCUGGACAAAGACUGACGCUCAGGUGCGAAAGCGUGGGGAGCAAACAGGAUUAGAUACCCUAGUAGUC